AACGAACGCUGGCGGCAGGCUUAACACAUGCAAGUCGAGCGAGACCUUCGGGUCUGGCGGCGGACGGGUGAGUAACGCGUGGGAACGUGCCCUUCUCUACGGAAUAGCCCCGGGAAACCGGGAGUAAUACCGUAUACGCCCUUUGGGGGAAAGAUUUAUGGGAGAAGGAUCGGACCGCGUUGGAUUAGGUAGUUGGUGGGGUAAUGGCCCCCCAAGCCGACGAUCCAUAGCUGGUUUGAGAGGAUGAUCAGCCACACUGGGACUGAGACACGGCCCAGAGUCCUACGGGAGGCAGCAGUGGGGAAUCUUAGAAAAUGGGGGCAACCCUGAUCUAGCCAUGCCGCGUGAGUGAUGAAGGCCUUAGGGUUGUAAAGCUCUUUCAGCUGGGAAGAUAAUGACGGUACCAGCAGAAGAAGCCCCGGCUAACUCCGUG
RNAcentral lists this ribosomal RNA (433 nucleotides) under uncultured bacterium. RNAcentral describes it as "partial 16S ribosomal RNA". It matches the Rfam family "Bacterial small subunit ribosomal RNA", at positions 29 to 507 of the family's 1533-position model. The record is from RNAcentral.